RNAcentral lists this long non-coding RNA (264 nucleotides) under Hordeum vulgare. RNAcentral's name for it is "long non-coding RNA (HVUL_LNC004170)". The record is from RNAcentral. Lineage: Eukaryota; Viridiplantae; Streptophyta; Magnoliopsida; Poales; Poaceae.
GGGCAGUGGCUGCACACGCACGGCGAGGAGCCCCAGCAGGUACGGCUGGCACAACGUUGGGCAUGGUGUUGGACAUGAGUGCCUGCGGCCGACGGAUGCGUCAAGGCGCAGGUGAGGCUGGAGGCCUUCGGCUGCGCGAAGAUCUCAUGGUUGCACUGCGGAUUGGCCGGAUGAGGAACCCGAGGUGGGACUGGACACGAGGGUGGCGGCGGCUGGAGGAUUGUGUGGAUAGGACAGGGAUCCCAGUUUUUAGGGAUUAGGUCU